Long non-coding RNA from Malania oleifera, 518 nucleotides. RefSeq lists it as uncharacterized. The transcript is spliced from 2 exons. NCBI's taxonomy places the organism in Eukaryota, Viridiplantae, Streptophyta, Magnoliopsida, Santalales, Ximeniaceae. The record is from RefSeq and is a predicted model, not a curated record.
UAGCUCACUGCCCACACCCCAUGGCCACGUGCACACAGCCAUAGUCCACACGGCUCUCACACGCCAACGUGUGAAAAGGGGUCAGGUCAGUGGUAGAGAGAGAUGGAUUGCGAGAGAAGCACGCUGUCUGCUGCUAUCUGCUGUUGCCAGAAACAGAGAGACGGAAGGCUUGAGUGAACGACGGCGGCGGUGAUAAAGAAGAGAAGGGGAGAGCGGGGAAAAGAUAAAGAUAUACCUCUUUUACGGUAGAAAACCGAAGAAGAAGGCAAAGACUCUCUGCGAAAAUCACGAAAAUGGUGAAGCCACCGCUGCAUCGUCGAAGAGAAAUAUCCGUCGGAGAGGCCCGGCCGCCGGCAAUGCCGAUCGACGGCGACCCUGAAAUGGUCUCUGAGCCGAAGCUUCAGGCACUGAGCCUUGUUCAUCCACAGAUCCACAUGCUCAAUCCAUUGCCCUACCAUGACUAUACCGAUCGAGUUCAGAGAGAAAGCGAGCCAGCGUGCGCGCGCGAGAGAGAGAGA